RNAcentral lists this ribosomal RNA (699 nucleotides) under Salmonella enterica. RNAcentral's name for it is "partial 23S ribosomal RNA". It matches the Rfam family "Bacterial large subunit ribosomal RNA", at positions 711 to 1322 of the family's 2925-position model. The record is from RNAcentral. RNAcentral also lists the same sequence under 2 other names. Lineage: Bacteria; Pseudomonadati; Pseudomonadota; Gammaproteobacteria; Enterobacterales; Enterobacteriaceae.
AGACCCGAAACCCGGUGAUCUAGCCAUGGGCAGGUUGAAGGUUGGGUAACACUAACUGGAGGACCGAACCGACUAAUGUUGAAAAAUUAGCGGAUGACCUGUGGCUGGGGGUGAAAGGCCAAUCAAACCGGGAGAUAGCUGGUUCUCCCCGAAAGCUAUUUAGGUAGCGCCUCGUGAAUUCAUCUCCGGGGGUAGAGCACUGUUUCGGCUAGGGGGCCAUCCCGGCUUACCAACCCGAUGCAAACUGCGAAUACCGGAGAAUGUUAUCACGGGAGACACACGGCGGGUGCUAACGUCCGUCGUGAAGAGGGAAACAACCCAGACCGCCAGCUAAGGUCCCAAAGUCAUGGUUAAGUGGGAAACGAUGUGGGAAGGCCCAGACAGCCAGGAUGUUGGCUUAGAAGCAGCCAUCAUUUAAAGAAAGCGUAAUAGCUCACUGGUCGAGUCGGCCUGCGCGGAAGAUGUAACGGGGCUAAACCAUGCACCGAAGCUGCGGCAGCGAACGUAUCACCCAAGACAACUUUACGGAGUUGACGAUUGACGGAGCGAAGCGACGUCAAAGCGUUCAUUAAAGUCGAGUUGGCUUAGGGAUACGUUCGUUGGGUAGGGGAGCGUUCUGUAAGCCUGUGAAGGUGUGUCGUGAGGCAUGCUGGAGGUAUCAGAAGUGCGAAUGCUGACAUAAGUAACGAUAAAGCGGGU